Molecule: ribosomal RNA, 400 nt
Filed under: uncultured bacterium
Lineage: Bacteria
Description: bacterial SSU rRNA
Rfam family: Bacterial small subunit ribosomal RNA
Source: RNAcentral
UGGGGAAUAUUGGACAAUGGGCGCAAGCCUGAUCCAGCCAUGCCGCGUGUGUGAAGAAGGUCUUCGGAUUGUAAAGCACUUUAAGUUGGGAGGAAGUUCAGUAAGUUAAUACCUUGUUGAAUUGACGUUACCGACAGAAUAAGCACCGGCUAACUCUGUGCCAGCAGCCGCGGUAAUACAGAGGGUGCAAGCGUUAAUCGGAAUUACUGGGCGUAAAGCGCGCGUAGGUGGUUUUGUAAGUUGGAGGUGAAAUCCCCGGGCUCAACCUGGGAACUGCCUCCAAAACUGCAUAGCUAGAGUACGGUAGAGGGUGGUGGAAUUUCCUGUGUAGCGGUGAAAUGCGUAGAUAUAGGAAGGAACACCAGUGGCGAAGGCGACCACCUGGACUGAUACUGACACU